AUGGCCACUUAGCUUGCUCGAGAUUACACAGAACCAUGCCUCUGGUUUCCUGGUACAGUGCUCCGGCAGGUGACGGAUGCUCCUGGGUGACAUAUCACGGAUCUCUCUGAGGCAAGAUGGCUGACUAGGAACAGCUCCGGUCUGCAGCUCCCAGCGAGACCAACACAGAAGGCCGUCAUCCUUAAGCCAUAAAAUGCCCUGUAGAGGUGGAACAGGUCAGAAGACUGAAUGCUCAAGCUGCAUGUGGAGUUAACAUGGCAAUAACACAGAAUGUGAUGACAGCAGACUCUAGAAUCUCAUGACAUCAGUUUAUAUUAGAACUGUUCUGUAGCUCACCUUUCUCCGAAGUUGGAAUUCACAUGGCUGUGGAAUGUGUUUCUACCUUCACUGUUGGAGGAGUCAUCCAACAAAUCCAGGGGUGGGAAAACAGCUGGAUAAGGACAAUAACAUAUAUGACAGCUGUACAAUCCUUUACCUUGGACCAUCUCUCUCACCUUGGACCAUCUCUCUCACCAGCUGCCUUCCACACCCCUGUACUACUAACUCCUUCUUCUUUCACUUGAACAUUCUUUACCCCAGAUUUUUGCAUCCUUCAGUGAUACGGAAAAGCAAAUGUUAGAGACUUUGGCCUAAAGAUACAUUGAGAAGGGAAAAAAAGUUUAAUAAGUAGCAAAUGUCA
Long non-coding RNA from Homo sapiens (human), 679 nucleotides. Ensembl annotates it as RMDN2 antisense RNA 1. Its record names the gene RMDN2-AS1. Lineage: Eukaryota; Metazoa; Chordata; Mammalia; Primates; Hominidae. The record is from Ensembl.